Molecule: regulatory RNA element, 102 nt
Organism: Candidatus Moranella endobia PCIT
Lineage: Bacteria; Pseudomonadati; Pseudomonadota; Gammaproteobacteria; Enterobacterales; Enterobacteriaceae
Rfam family: Alpha operon ribosome binding site
About the family: The bacterial alpha operon ribosome binding site is surrounded by this complex pseudoknotted structure.
Source: Rfam
AUAAACAACGACAAGGCUAAGGAGCUAUUUUUAUGAUGGUGUUGCCAUUAAACUUUCUAGGAGUACAUAGUGGCCCGUAUAGCUGGCAUUAACAUUCCUGAU